Long non-coding RNA from Arabidopsis lyrata subsp. lyrata, 590 nucleotides. RefSeq lists it as uncharacterized. Lineage: Eukaryota; Viridiplantae; Streptophyta; Magnoliopsida; Brassicales; Brassicaceae. The record is from RefSeq and is a predicted model, not a curated record. The transcript has 3 exons.
AAAAAAUUCAUUUCUUUCUCUCUUCUCUUCUUACUGCGAUUCGCGAGAAAACCUCUCCUUUCGUUCUCUUCUACAAUCCGCCAUGGGCAUGUCUUCUCCCCACUCUAGUUUAUCUAACUUUGCUGGUAAAUCCACAAUUGGAGGACAGAUUCUUUAUCUUAGCGGUCAGGUGGAUGACAACCUUAUGACAUCUCUUGCCUCCGUCAUAUAGCUCGACUUGUUUUUGAGCUUUGAAAUGGUACGUAUACUGCCUUUAAUUUCAACCUCACUUCUAUUUUUUUUAUUCAUUGAUCUUUUUGUUAUUAUGAUGAUCACAAUUCCAAAGUCUACUUAUUUGUUUAUGCAUUUUCUUCAAAAUUCUCCUAAAAUAAAAGUUGUUAGAAAUCGUUGUUUCACGGCCAUGGUUUUGUGGCCCUCUCUGGAUCUUGGGUGAUAUCUUCAUGGGACUAUAUCACACUGUGUUCGAUUACGGGAAAGCAAGAGUUGGAUUCGCCAAAACUGCUUAAACAUGAUCACUUCUUUAAUACCCUUUUUUAUAUGAUGUUUGUGAAUGUGUAUUUAGACAAAAUCUUAAAAUGGUUUGUAAUAAC